Molecule: ribosomal RNA, 239 nt
Filed under: uncultured Staphylococcus sp.
Lineage: Bacteria; Bacillati; Bacillota; Bacilli; Caryophanales; Staphylococcaceae
Description: partial 16S ribosomal RNA
Rfam family: Bacterial small subunit ribosomal RNA
Source: RNAcentral
GGACGGGUGAGUAACACGUGGAUAACCUACCUAUAAGACUGGGAUAACUCGGGAAACCGGAGCUAAUACCGGAUAAUAUAUUGAACCGCAUGGUUCAAUAGUGAAAGACGGUUUUGCUGUCACUUAUAGAUGGAUCCGCGCCGCAUUAGCUAGUUGGUAAGGUAACGGCUUACCAAGGCAACGAUGCGUAGCCGACCUGAGAGGGUGAUCGGCCACACUGGAACUGAGACACGGUCCAG